Molecule: long non-coding RNA, 382 nt
Filed under: Vulpes vulpes (red fox)
Lineage: Eukaryota; Metazoa; Chordata; Mammalia; Carnivora; Canidae
Description: lncRNA (ENSVVUG00000014772.1)
Source: RNAcentral
AGCUUCAAUGUGAAAGAACCUUUUUCUUUUUCUCGGAAUGCUCUGUUUUAUAGCCAAGUGGCUCCAGAACACGGUGGACUGACGGCAGCAGAGAACACCCGGCCGAGAGUGUGUCCAGGAGUGACCAGCAGGGCGCGCGCCAGACUCGGAAAUGAGUAUUUUAGACUGUAGAUGUGCCCUGAAAUGCCUCAUCUCAGGGAGGGUGAGAAGAGCUUCUCUUAAGCAAGUGUGGUGUCUGCUUCUGGUGCUGUUUAUGGCAGAGCUGGAAACUGUCUUCGAAAUUAACAAUAGAUGUGCAUAAAUCUUCUUCAGUUACCUAGCAACUAAUACAAGACAACGCAGAGGUUCACAGGCUGGGUGGAGGUAAGCCUGUUUUAGGAAU